This 1875-nucleotide long non-coding RNA is filed under the name Sus scrofa (pig). RNAcentral's name for it is "lncRNA (ENSSSCG00055020939.1)". The record is from RNAcentral. Lineage: Eukaryota; Metazoa; Chordata; Mammalia; Artiodactyla; Suidae.
GCAUUACCACCGACCAGUCCUCAGCCGGCAACAUGAAGCUGGGUGGCCUCUGCCUCCUGCUCCUCCUCGCCGUCCUUCUCACCCUCAAUGCAGAGCUCCAGGCAGUUGAUGUAGGUAUCUGUGUGACGGAGUGCAAGGUAGACCAGGACUGUGGGGCAGGAAGACGAUGCACCAGCAAUGGAUGUGGCCGGGUCUGCUCCCCAGUCCGGCGAAGAGAGGCCUGCGAGCACCAGUGCAGAGAAGACAGGGACUGUGGGAGUGGACAUCAGUGCGUGAGGAAGGGCUGUGGGCACGUCUGCGCCCCCGUCCAUCAAGUCGAUGUAGGUAUCUGUGUGACGGAGUGCAAGGUAGACCAGGACUGUGGGGAAGGAAGACGAUGCACCAGCAAUGGGUGUGGCCGUGUCUGCUCCCCAGUCCAGCAAAAAGAGGCCUGCGAGCACCAAUGCAGAGAAGACAAGGACUGUGGGAGUGGACAUCAGUGCGUGAGGAAGGGCUGUGGGCACGUCUGCUCCCCCAUCCCUCAAGUAGGUAUCUGUGUGACGGAGUGCAAUGUAGACCAGGACUGUGGGGCAGGAAGACGAUGCACCAGCAAUGGAUGUGGCCGUGUCUGCUCCCCACCCCAGGGAGGAGGACUCUGUGUGGACCGCUGCCGAGGAAACUGGGACUGUGGGGCCGGAGAAGAAUGUAUCAGGAAGGGAUGUGGACGGGUCUGCUCUCCAGCCCAGGAGCCAGUGGUAGGUAUCUGUGUGGAUCAGUGCCAAAGACACUGGGAAUGUGGUCCACGGAUGCGGUGUGUCUCCACUGGAUGUGGCCACAUCUGCUCACCAGCCCAAGACCAAGGUAAGAGGUGCAAGCCUUGCCUUCCAAGCCCCUGACUGACUGAAUGCUUGGCUCUGUGAGACAACAGCCAUCAGGGCCAGCUGCACAGAGCAAAAAGAGGUGGCAGUUGCCAUGGGGCCACUACUGGCCUCUGUGAGAAUGAGAAAAGAUGCCCCUUGUUCCAGGUCUAGAAGACCAUGAAGACAGAUGAAUAAUAUCUUGCUUUUGAAGUAUUUGUAAACGUAAAAAAGCUGGUGAUGCUCUUAAAAAUGAAAUAACAUUAAGGUACCAAAUGAUUCUUCAACUCAGGCUGAAAAGAACCCAUUUAUGGAUAAGUUCGCUAGUAUCUCAAACCCAAAUGAAUGCCCAUGCUGGUGUGAGCCACACAGGUCCAUUCAUUCAGACCACCAAUAUGUAAGCCUGCCCAGGCUGAUUCUUGCCAGCAGUGGCUGGCCAGUGCUAUUUCCCCACAGAACCUUCAAUUCCAUUUCUUUCUUGACGGAAAGGCCUUAUCAGCCACCCUCCAUCUCCUCAGCUUCUCUCUCUCUCCAUCAGUUUCUUUGUCUCUUGCUACAAACAUUGGAUUGACUAGAAAAAAACACUUUCUUGACUAUAUGAAACAUCAUCUUUCCAAUUUCCUCUUUUCCAUUCACCACCACCAUCCUCAAAGGAGCAAUCUUAACUCUCUGCCCUUUCUUCCCCAUAAGUCACUCCUCCAGCCCUUGCAGACUGACGAUAGUCUCCAUUGCUGCCCCCAUCCCUCGCCUGGACCUUCUGGACAAAUCUCUUGACUCUCUGCAGUAGCCAGAGUCUUUAACCUCUGCAGCACUUGACACUAUUGGCCCCCCCAUCAACCCUCCAACUUUCUUCCCUCUUGGGCUCUCUUCACUGUCUCUUCGUCUCCUCCCAAGAUAUCACUGGAUUCCACUCUUACUCCUCUCUCUUCUGUGUUCCUCCCCCUACAAUUAAUGAACCGGUUGCCAAAUACCACUCCUUCUUUGCAAUUGUUUCUUGCACACGUGCCUUCUUCUCCAACCUCCAUUGCCACACAUUUCC